CAGAAGUUGCACUACUAAGAUGAGAAAAUGUUUUGAUGAUAAGAUUGAUGACUGAAUUAAUAUCUUAAAUUUCUAUUUGUUGGAAGGAAACAUUACUUAUAAUUUCUCAAAUGACAACUUGAUAGGGCUAGUAAUGUUUCCUAUUAUUCACUAUAAGUUUCUUCUUGUUGCAAGCACCAUGAAAGCCACCUCGCUCGUGCCAU
This 203-nucleotide long non-coding RNA is filed under the name Elaeis guineensis (African oil palm). Its description in RNAcentral is "long non-coding RNA (EGUI_LNC069951)". Lineage: Eukaryota; Viridiplantae; Streptophyta; Magnoliopsida; Arecales; Arecaceae. The record is from RNAcentral.